AUCAUCCUACUCUGUGUGCAGCCUUCAAACUGUGUGCUUGACAUAUGGAAGGAAAAGGGGCCUCUUUGAAAUGUGAGCUGAGUACAGAUCAUGUCACCUGUCCAGCGUGUGACCUGUUCUACUCUCCACCUGAUCGCCUGUGCCCAGUGGCACCUGGACCUGGAAUCUGGAAGAAAAAGUCCUUGACUGGAGUCAGCAGAGAGAAAAUCAUCACCUGCUUAGGUACAAACAUGCCUAGUGACUGCGUCACUGUUUGUCAAGUGGGAUCAGCUAAUAGUUGCACAGCGGGCCUUCAAAGUCCUGCAGUCGGGCUGAUGAAGUUUCUGUAAAUGCACUCCCUGUGUGAAGGCCUUGGACUUUAGAUCUCUGGCAGCAUUUUGAGCUUGCCAACUGGCUCUUGGGUGGACUCUGGUUGGUUAAGCUAGAGUGCAAAAGAAUUAAGUUUCGUUUCCAUCAGCCUUCAUUUGGCUCUGUCUACUCCUACCACACUCUUGCUUCCUUCCGGGCUUUUGCACAGACUGUUUCCUCUGCCUGGGACACCUCCCUCCCUGCUGGACAACAGCCCAGUUUGCUCCUAUGUUUAGCUUAGGGAUCUGCCUUCACAUCACCUCCCUAGAGACCUUGCUGUUUGCUCUCUUUCUCAUUAUCCUGCCUCGUAUUUCUUCAUAGCACCGGAAACCGUUUUAUAUAUUGAUCUGGGAAGUAGUCCAUGGUUUGUCUUCCCCACUAGAAUAUAAAAGUUCUUCAAAAAGUUCUUGGAAAAAUAGUAUUAGAAGAUUAUUUUAGUGCAAAAAUGUUGAGAUUAUGCACCUUUUUUUUCCCUUUUUUUCAAAAUACGCAUUUUCCAUGAAGUGUUUGAAGAUGCUUGUACAAGCUCCCUAAGGAGCCACAACUAUUUCUUCCACCGAUUUGUUCACAUUGCCUACAAUAGUACCUGACCACAGAGGACCUUCAUGAAAUAUUUGUGGAAUACAGGAAUGACUGAAUGAGGAUUAUAAUGACUAUAAAAAAUGAUUUCUCCUCAUUUUACAAAUGGAGAGACUGGAAGAUUGGGAGAAUAAACUACUCAAGAUCCAUUUAGUGACAGAGACAGUAUCAACACUUUAAUUUCCUCACAAUCCAGGAAAUGUUUUCAAAUGUUUUUAUUCUAUAGAAUGUUCUCCAACAAUUUGGCAACUAACACAACUGUCAACUCACUGUUUCCACAUUUGUUUACCAUCCUUUAUUCAGUUCAUGUCUAUGGAAUGGAUCAGAACUUUAUGAGGGGUCCUGGUGCUACCAUCUUGCUUUGUGAUCAAAUCACCUGAAAAAGAAGGAACGGAAAGAGAAGCAGACGUCGAAAAGGCAGAAGGAGGAGGAGAUGUGAUACUUCUGAGUUCCUUUUUGAAAUUUGCAACAUUCAAAAAUUUGUUUUCAUUAUUACAUAUAUUUAACUCAAUUAGCUGAGGGAGAAAAUGAAACAAAUUUUUUUCUAUGUAAAAUCCUGGCCAAUAACUUUCCAGAGUUAAUAGAUAUGAAAUCAGUUUCAUCAAGUUUGUGGAGGAUGAAGGAGAAUUGUUACCAAUAUACACACACAGUAACACACUGCACUUGCAUGGACAGAUAGUACUGAAAUUGUACAAAACCUGAGAGGAAGACAAAGUACUGAUGACUAUUAUGGAUAGAAAAAUACAUGGUACACAUUAAGGAUCAAGUGAAGAAAUACAGCAGACUGCUUAUUAUAAUAAGAAAGAUGUCAAAGCAUGAAAUAUUUAAAGUGCUGAACGAUUAAAAAAAGUCCUCAAAUUACAUUUCUAUACCCAGAGAAAACAUCUCAAAGAUAAACGUUUUUCUCAGAAGAAAGGAAGGAUUUUAUUGCCUGCAUGUUGACAUGACCAGAGAUGUUCAAGGAAGUUGUGCAAGUAGACUUAGAUACCAGAGAGGAGCUUCUCUGCACACAUAAUUGAAGAACACUAAAUCUUGCUGAUGAUAAGCAUAAAUCUUGCGUUGUUCUAAUUUGUAUUUGCUCUAAUAGAUAACCAACUUUUAAUGUUGUUAUCAAUGGUUUUAAAGUGUUUUUCUACUUACUUCCAAAUUGCAUUUCAAAAUACUUUAAAGCAAUUUUCACUUCAAAUACAAAUGAGAAUGGCUAUAUGUCCUCCUAUGUGUCCUGCAAAUAUUAGAUAGUGUAAUUUCAUUUUUAAAAAACUAAGCCAAAAUACUA
Oryctolagus cuniculus (rabbit) is the source of this 2203-nucleotide non-coding RNA. Lineage: Eukaryota; Metazoa; Chordata; Mammalia; Lagomorpha; Leporidae. The record is from RefSeq and is a predicted model, not a curated record.